Molecule: transfer RNA, 85 nt
Filed under: Paracoccaceae bacterium
Lineage: Bacteria; Pseudomonadati; Pseudomonadota; Alphaproteobacteria; Rhodobacterales; Paracoccaceae
Description: Rhodobacteraceae bacterium (sponge metagenome) tRNA-Leu
Rfam family: tRNA
About the family: Transfer RNA (tRNA) molecules are approximately 80 nucleotides in length. Their secondary structure includes four short double-helical elements and three loops (D, anti-codon, and T loops). Further hydrogen bonds mediate the characteristic L-shaped molecular structure. tRNAs have two regions of fundamental functional importance: the anti-codon, which is responsible for specific mRNA codon recognition, and the 3' end, to which the tRNAs corresponding amino acid is attached (by aminoacyl-tRNA synthetases). tRNAs cope with the degeneracy of the genetic code in two manners: having more than one tRNA (with a specific anti-codon) for a particular amino acid; and 'wobble' base-pairing, i.e. permitting non-standard base-pairing at the 3rd anti-codon position.
Source: RNAcentral
GCGGAUGUGGCGGAAAUGGCAGACGCACCAGAUUUAGGUUCUGGCGCCGCAAGGCGUGGAGGUUCAAGUCCUCUCAUCCGCACCA